RNAcentral lists this ribosomal RNA (258 nucleotides) under uncultured bacterium. Its description in RNAcentral is "partial 16S ribosomal RNA". It matches the Rfam family "Bacterial small subunit ribosomal RNA", at positions 1243 to 1500 of the family's 1533-position model. The record is from RNAcentral.
AGGGAUGCUACCGGGCGACCGGAUGCGGAUCUCGAAAGCCUGUCCCAGUUCGGACUGGAGUCUGCAACCCGACUCCACGAAGUUGGAUUCGCUAGUAAUCGCGCAUCAGCCAUGGCGCGGUGAAUACGUUCCCGGGCCUUGUACACACCGCCCGUCACACCAUGAGAGUCGAUAACACCCGAAGCCUGUAGUCUAACCUUAGGGGGGACGCAGUCGAAGGUGGGAUUGAUAAUUAGGGUGAAGUCGUAACAAGGUAAC